RNAcentral lists this transfer RNA (69 nucleotides) under Pseudomonadota bacterium. RNAcentral's name for it is "Proteobacteria bacterium (cold seep metagenome) tRNA-Leu". It matches the Rfam family "tRNA", at positions 9 to 64 of the family's 71-position model. Rfam says of the family: Transfer RNA (tRNA) molecules are approximately 80 nucleotides in length. Their secondary structure includes four short double-helical elements and three loops (D, anti-codon, and T loops). Lineage: Bacteria; Pseudomonadati; Pseudomonadota. The record is from RNAcentral.
GGCGGAAUUGGUAGACGCGCUAGGUUCAGGACUUAGUGGGUGAAUGCCUGUGCGGGUUCGAUUCCCGCC